This is a non-coding RNA of Mus musculus (house mouse), 149 nucleotides long. The record is from Rfam. Lineage: Eukaryota; Metazoa; Chordata; Mammalia; Rodentia; Muridae.
CACCCUUGCAAUGGGCAAAGAGAUACCUUGGUGGUGGUGGUGGUGGUGUUCUUAUAUCAGCCAGGGGCAGAGAAGAUGCCAGUCCUUUGUUCCUCCUAGAUUGAUGCCUGUCUUGAUGGCCAAAGCUGUUUUAUGCCUAGGAUAAAAAU